Molecule: non-coding RNA, 86 nt
Filed under: Massilia sp.
Lineage: Bacteria; Pseudomonadati; Pseudomonadota; Betaproteobacteria; Burkholderiales; Oxalobacteraceae
Description: Glycine sequence
Rfam family: Glycine riboswitch aptamer
About the family: This family represents the bacterial glycine riboswitch.
Source: RNAcentral
CAGUCUUGACCGGGAGAGCGCAGCGCAGGCUGCCGCCGAAGGGGCAUUACCCAAAAACUCUCAGGCAACCGGACCGGUCAGGGGCU